UCCUACGGGAGGCAGCAGUGAGGAAUAUUGGUCAAUGGGCGCAAGCCUGAACCAGCCAUCCCGCGUGCAGGAAGACGGCCCUAUGGGUUGUAAACUGCUUUUCCAGGGGGAGAAACUUCCGUACGUGUACGGAAUUGACGGUACCCUGGGAAUAAGCAUCGGCUAACUCCGUGCCAGCAGCCGCGGUAAUA
This 191-nucleotide ribosomal RNA is filed under the name uncultured bacterium. RNAcentral's name for it is "partial 16S ribosomal RNA". It matches the Rfam family "Bacterial small subunit ribosomal RNA", at positions 337 to 525 of the family's 1533-position model. The record is from RNAcentral.